This 593-nucleotide ribosomal RNA is filed under the name Candida albicans. RNAcentral describes it as "LSU rRNA". It matches the Rfam family "Eukaryotic large subunit ribosomal RNA", at positions 47 to 655 of the family's 3401-position model. Lineage: Eukaryota; Fungi; Ascomycota; Pichiomycetes; Serinales; Debaryomycetaceae. The record is from RNAcentral.
UAAGCGGAGGAAAAGAAACCACCAGGGAUUGCCUCAGUAGCGGCGAGUGAAGCGGCAAAAGCUCAAAUUUGAAAUCUGGCGUCUUUGGCGUCCGAGUUGUAAUUUGAAGAAGGUAUCUUUGGGCCCGGCUCUUGUCUAUGUUCCUUGGAACAGGACGUCACAGAGGGUGAGAAUCCCGUGCGAUGAGAUGACCCGGGUCUGUGUAAAGUUCCUUCGACGAGUCGAGUUGUUUGGGAAUGCAGCUCUAAGUGGGUGGUAAAUUCCAUCUAAAGCUAAAUAUUGGCGAGAGACCGAUAGCGAACAAGUACAGUGAUGGAAAGAUGAAAAGAACUUUGAAAAGAGAGUGAAAAAGUACGUGAAAUUGUUGAAAGGGAAGGGCUUGAGAUCAGACUUGGUAUUUUGCAUGUUGCUCUCUCGGGGGCGGCCGCUGCGGUUUACCGGGCCAGCAUCGGUUUGGAGCGGCAGGAUAAUGGCGGAGGAAUGUGGCACGGCUUCUGCUGUGUGUUAUAGCCUCUGACGAUACUGCCAGCCUAGACCGAGGACUGCGGUUUUUACCUAGGAUGUUGGCAUAAUGAUCUUAAGUCGCCCGUCUU